This 468-nucleotide ribosomal RNA is filed under the name uncultured bacterium. RNAcentral describes it as "partial 16S ribosomal RNA". It matches the Rfam family "Bacterial small subunit ribosomal RNA", at positions 28 to 507 of the family's 1533-position model. The record is from RNAcentral.
GACGAACGCUGGCGGCGUGCUUAACACAUGCAAGUCGAACGGAAAGGCCCUACUUUUGUGCGGUGCUCGAGUGGCGAUCGGGUGAGUAACACGUGUGUAACCUGCCCUUGACUUUGGGAUAACUUCAGGAAACUGGGGCUACUACCGGAUAGGAGCUCCUGUUCCAGGGUGAGGGUUGGAAAGUUUCGGCGGUUGGGGAUGGACUCGCGGCUUAUCAGCUUGUUGGUUGGGUAGUGGCUGACCAAGGCAUUGACGGGUCGCCGGCAUGUGAGGGGGGCCGGGCACCAUGGGACUGAGGGACGGCCCAGAGUCGUACGGGGGGCAGUAGGGGGGAAUAUUGCACAGUGGGCGGAAGCCUGAUGCAGAAGCGCCGCGUGCGGGAUGACGGCCUGCGGGUUGUGAACCGCUUUCGCCUGUGACGAAGCGUGAGUGACGGUAAUGGGUAAAGAAGCACCGGCUAACUACGUG